This 113-nucleotide ribosomal RNA is filed under the name Periophthalmus magnuspinnatus. The record is from RNAcentral. Lineage: Eukaryota; Metazoa; Chordata; Actinopteri; Gobiiformes; Gobiidae.
UGGACAUACCAUACAUGCUUAUCAAUGCAAAGUCUUGUCAGAUCUCUGAAGCUAAGCAAAACUGGGCCUAGUUAGUACUUGGAUGGGAGACCACUGGGAAUACCAGGUGCCAC